GACGAACCGUGCGAACGUUAUUCGGAAUCAUUGGGCUUAAAGGGCGCGUAGACGGGCGACCGCGUCGAGUGCUGAAAUCCCCCGGCUCAACCGGGGAAGCGGCCUCGAAACGGGUCGCCUCGAGUGGAGGAGAGGGACCUGGAACGUCCGGUGGAGCGGUGAAAUGCGUUGAGAUCGGACGGAACGCCGACGGCGAAAGCAGGGUCCUGGACUCCCACUGACGUUGAGGCGCGAAAGCCAGGGGAGCGAACGGG
RNAcentral lists this ribosomal RNA (254 nucleotides) under uncultured Singulisphaera sp. Its description in RNAcentral is "partial 16S ribosomal RNA". It matches the Rfam family "Bacterial small subunit ribosomal RNA", at positions 524 to 776 of the family's 1533-position model. Lineage: Bacteria; Pseudomonadati; Planctomycetota; Planctomycetia; Isosphaerales; Isosphaeraceae. The record is from RNAcentral.